AGAAAAAACAGCAAAACGUUGGGGCUAAAGUCAAGUGACAUAAGGCUAAAGGUGGGGAGUACGAGCAGGGCAUGGGCAAGCAGCAAGAGUAGACCUCCUACAGUAUGCUUCUGACGUGUGCACAGGAGAAAGCAGCUCUGGGCUUUGAGGGAGAAGCUGGACAACAGUAGCCCCCCCUGAACCUGUAGCCUGGAAUCAGAAACCCUUGACUCUCACUUUCCACUUGGAGCUCCUCCACAUCAGUCAAUGAUGCAUGUCUCAGU
This 263-nucleotide long non-coding RNA is filed under the name Mustela putorius furo (domestic ferret). Its description in RNAcentral is "lncRNA (ENSMPUG00000030312.1)". The record is from RNAcentral. Lineage: Eukaryota; Metazoa; Chordata; Mammalia; Carnivora; Mustelidae.